GGUUCCAUGGGGUAAUGGUUAGCACUCUCGACUUCGAAUCCAGCGACCCGAGUUCAAAUCUCGGUGGAACAU
Molecule: transfer RNA, 72 nt
Filed under: Trichonephila inaurata madagascariensis
Lineage: Eukaryota; Metazoa; Arthropoda; Arachnida; Araneae; Nephilidae
Rfam family: tRNA
About the family: Transfer RNA (tRNA) molecules are approximately 80 nucleotides in length.
Source: Rfam by way of RNAcentral